CAGCAGCCGCGGGAACACGUAGGGUGCAAGCGUUAAUCGGAAUUACUGGGCGUAAAGCGUGCGCAGGCGGUUUGUUAAGACAGAUGUGAAAUCCCCGGGCUUAACCUGGGAACUGCAUUUGUGACUGGCAAGCUAGAGUAUGGCAGAGGGGGGUGGAAUUCCGCGUGUAGCAGUGAAAUGCGUAGAUAUGCGGAGGAACACCGAUGGCGAAGGCAGCCCCCUGGGCCAAUACUGACGCUCAUGCACGAAAGCGCGGGGAGCAAACAGGAUUAGAUACCCCUGUAGUCCCUGUCUCUUAUAC
This 301-nucleotide ribosomal RNA is filed under the name uncultured bacterium. Its description in RNAcentral is "partial 16S ribosomal RNA". It matches the Rfam family "Bacterial small subunit ribosomal RNA", at positions 509 to 807 of the family's 1533-position model. The record is from RNAcentral.